This is a long non-coding RNA of Sarcophilus harrisii (Tasmanian devil), 623 nucleotides long. RefSeq lists it as uncharacterized. Lineage: Eukaryota; Metazoa; Chordata; Mammalia; Dasyuromorphia; Dasyuridae. The record is from RefSeq and is a predicted model, not a curated record. The transcript has 3 exons.
CAAGAAAAAUCGGAUCAAGAAGAAAAAAAACUAAGAAAAAAUGCAAGCAAAUAACAACAAAAAGAGUGAGAAUGCUAAGUUGUGUUCUUCACUCAGCUCCCAAGGUCCUCUCUCUGGGUGUGGAUGGCUCUCUUCACCAUUGAACAACUGGAACUGGUUUGAAUCAUCUCAUUGUUGAAGAGAGCCAUGUCCAUCAGAAUUGAUCAUUGUCUUGUUUCAGUAUUCUUCAAAGAUAGAAAACUCCUCGGGGAAUUUCCAGUCUGAUGCACAUUAUUUCUUCCAGGGACCCACAGAACUUGGAUGGAUGGGGACAGAGACAGAAGGAAAAACAUUUGCAAACAUCACAGCUCCAGAAACACUUAAAGAGAGUCAUCUGGGUCCAGUGGCCAGAUAUAGAUCAAGAUGACUGGAGAUGGCCCCUGAUGCAGGAGGAGACCUUGGGGGAACAGCAUGAGCCCUCUAUUGAAAGUGGAAUUUGAACUGAGUCUUAAAGGAAGUUCGAUGUUACAAGUUAAGCUGUCCUAUGAAAAAAAUAUAUAUUCCUGAAAAAAGUAAAGACAACUUAAAUCCUAAACUCAAAAUGUGAGUCAAUUUUUUUUACUUACCUAUUAUUUAGAGCUAAU